This 253-nucleotide non-coding RNA is filed under the name uncultured bacterium. Its description in RNAcentral is "partial 16S ribosomal RNA". It matches the Rfam family "Bacterial small subunit ribosomal RNA", at positions 524 to 776 of the family's 1533-position model. RNAcentral also lists the same sequence under 1 other name. The record is from RNAcentral.
UACGGAGGGUGCAAGCGUUAAUCGGAAUUACUGGGCGUAAAGCGCACGUAGGCGGUAUGUUAAGUUGGAUGUGAAAGCCCCGGGCUCAACCUGGGAAUUGCAUUCAAAACUGGCAUGCUAGAGUAUGUGAGAGGGGGGUAGAAUUCCAAGUGUAGCGGUGAAAUGCGUAGAGAUUUGGAGGAAUACCAGUGGCGAAGGCGGCCCCCUGGCACAAUACUGACGCUCAGGUGCGAAAGCGUGGGGAGCAAACAGG